UCUUCUUUCCCGUGAUUCCCUCAAACAUUCACUUUCACUCUCUUUCUCCCGUCGAGCUCUCUCUCUAUACACGGACAACCCCCAAAACUUCUUCAAAUCUUCACAGAUCGAAGAAAAUAAAACCAUCAUCGUCUUCAUCUCGACGAUACGAGUCCAACCAUACCUAUUUCAGGAGUUUUUAAGCUCAUAGGGAGCUUAAGGAGGUCCUUAGGAGGCUCGGGGUAGUUCGUUGGAAGUUUUUGGACGUAAGAACAAGGAGAUCGAAAAGUUCAAGUUUGACCCGUGCCUUUCGAGGAGUUUUCCGGCCAAACCACGGAGUGUUAGACGUCGUGCGAGUUUCCGGCGAGUCUGACGGCUUUCAAGGCUUUUUCCGAUGCAUUCCCGGCGAGUUAAGGGUCGAUACAGGUGAGACUUACAUGGAGGACGAGCGUAACCAAACUAGGCGUGGGGGUUACAAACCGGCUACUUAUCAGUGAGUGGGCAGUUAUUUUUCAGUAUAUAUAUAUAUAUAUGCUUGACGUUUUUCCCAGAAACGUAUUUUAAGGAAAUGUGAUUUAAGUAUCCUGUCAUAUAUGCAUCAUAUUUUAGUAUGUGCAUUAUUAUAAUUAUGCAUAUUGUUGCAUGGUGCUGAGGAGGCCCAAAUAAGCUACAUGUGAGUAUAAUACAUUUGGAAUACUAUUGAAAUAUGAUUGAAAUAUGUUUGAGAUAUA
Non-coding RNA from Malus domestica (apple), 710 nucleotides. The record is from RefSeq and is a predicted model, not a curated record. NCBI's taxonomy places the organism in Eukaryota, Viridiplantae, Streptophyta, Magnoliopsida, Rosales, Rosaceae.